GCCAGGGUAGUCUAGGGGAUAGGCAGCGGACUGCAGAUCCGCAUCACGCCGGUUCGAAUCCGGCCCCUGGCU
RNAcentral lists this transfer RNA (72 nucleotides) under Candidatus Hydrothermarchaeota archaeon. Its description in RNAcentral is "tRNA-Cys". It matches the Rfam family "tRNA". From Rfam's summary of the family: Transfer RNA (tRNA) molecules are approximately 80 nucleotides in length. Their secondary structure includes four short double-helical elements and three loops (D, anti-codon, and T loops). Further hydrogen bonds mediate the characteristic L-shaped molecular structure. tRNAs have two regions of fundamental functional importance: the anti-codon, which is responsible for specific mRNA codon recognition, and the 3' end, to which the tRNAs corresponding amino acid is attached (by aminoacyl-tRNA synthetases). tRNAs cope with the degeneracy of the genetic code in two manners: having more than one tRNA (with a specific anti-codon) for a particular amino acid; and 'wobble' base-pairing, i.e. permitting non-standard base-pairing at the 3rd anti-codon position. The record is from RNAcentral. Lineage: Archaea; Methanobacteriati; Candidatus Hydrothermarchaeota.